Molecule: long non-coding RNA, 712 nt
Organism: Pan troglodytes (chimpanzee)
Lineage: Eukaryota; Metazoa; Chordata; Mammalia; Primates; Hominidae
Exons: 4
Source: RefSeq, a predicted model, not a curated record
GAAGGCCUGGCCAGGCUCUCACGUGGUCUGCCUCUGCGCCUGCGCUCUUGGGCAGCUGCAGCGGCCACCUGGAGAGCAGAGCAGCCAGUGCGCCGCCCACCUGGAAAGAUUCUCUCUAGAUCCAAAGAAAAACAAGAGGGUUCUUUUUGCCUUCUACUCCUCAAAACACACCAGCAGCUCAGCAAUUGGAGGGGAGCCUGAAGGACAAAAACAUUGCUAUCUCAUAGAGCAACGGUAUAAGAGCCAAUAGAGACUCCUGGCGCUGGAAGUCACGGAUCCGAAAGAAGGCGCCCAAUCAUUUGGUUUCUUUGGAUCGUUAUUGAGUCUUCUGUCAUCAUAGUUCUACCCUCCUACUCGAAUGCCUUCCGUGGGGCCCUUACCCUUGCUCUCCUCUGCCUGGAAUGCCCGCCUCUUCUUGCACUCAAGCCCCUGGGUUCUAUUCAGAUGCUCCAGUUACAAAUGACAGAUCCAAAAUUGUCUUCUGGAAGAAACAUCACAAAACUUCAAAGAAAUUAGAAAAAAGUUACCUACAUAGGCAGAGAAUUCAACUGUGAGUUGACAAUUAUUUACGAUUCUCUUAACUGGCUGUUUCACAACGUUAUGGAGCUAAGAAAGGAUGAAAGCUUACCACUGCUUGGAUACCAGCUGGAUAAGCAGCUUGGAAUGUCAAAUAUAUAACAAGAAAGGAAAUAUUCUACUUUAAAGGAACAUG